GAUGAACGCUGGCGGCGUGCCUAAUACAUGCAAGUCGAGCGAACAGACGAGGAGCUUGCUCCUCUGACGUUAGCGGCGGACGGGUGAGUAACACGUGGAUAACCUACCUAUAAGACUGGGAUAACUUCGGGAAACCGGAGCUAAUACCGGAUAAUAUAUUGAACCGCAUGGUUCAAUAGUGAAAGACGGUUUUGCUGUCACUUAUAGAUGGAUCCGCGCCGCAUUAGCUAGUUGGUAAGGUAACGGCUUACCAAGGCAACGAUGCGUAGCCGACCUGAGAGGGUGAACGGCAACGCUGAGACUGAGACAGGGUACAAGCAAACACGGGAGGAAGCAUAAGGGAAUCCUCAGAAAGGGGCGAAUGCAAGAGAGAGCAACAACGUGGGAACGAUGAAUGUGUUCGGAGCGGAUAAAAUUGUUAAUGGUGAAGAAAAAAUGGGUAAGGAAAUAUGCAAGACUUGAUGGAAAGUAAGUAGAGAGACACGGAUAAGUACGUG
Molecule: ribosomal RNA, 497 nt
Filed under: uncultured bacterium
Lineage: Bacteria
Description: partial 16S ribosomal RNA
Rfam family: Bacterial small subunit ribosomal RNA
Source: RNAcentral